RNAcentral lists this small RNA (74 nucleotides) under Erwinia persicina. Its description in RNAcentral is "partial RtT sRNA". It matches the Rfam family "RtT RNA", at positions 53 to 130 of the family's 130-position model. Rfam says of the family: This family represents a bacterial cis-regulatory element known as RtT RNA. The exact function of RtT is unknown although it is thought that it may be involved in changing the cellular response in relation to amino acid starvation. Lineage: Bacteria; Pseudomonadati; Pseudomonadota; Gammaproteobacteria; Enterobacterales; Erwiniaceae. The record is from RNAcentral.
CGCAGCGAGACAACGUUGCUUCAGCAACGGCCCGCAGGGCGGCUCGCAGAGCCGUAAUCCUCUCUCGCCGACCA